UACGGGGGGAGCAAGCGUUGUUCGGAUUUACUGGGCGUAAAGGGCGCGUAGGCGGCCACCGCAAGUCGGUUGUGAAAUCUCUGGGCUUAACCCAGAAAGGUCAACCGAUACUGCGGGGCUAGAGUGCAGAAGGGGCAACUGGAAUUCUCGGUGUAGCGGUGAAAUGCGUAGAUAUCGAGAGGAACACCUGCGGCGAAGGCGGGUUGCUGGGCUGACACUGACGCUGAAGCGCGAAAGCUAGGGUAGCAAACGGG
Molecule: ribosomal RNA, 254 nt
Filed under: uncultured bacterium
Lineage: Bacteria
Description: partial 16S ribosomal RNA
Rfam family: Bacterial small subunit ribosomal RNA
Source: RNAcentral